UCAUGUGGAGUUUGUCGAUACAACUAAAGAAGAUAAGGCUGGUCAACUCGUCAUUAUCUGGUCAAAGUUUUGUUUAUUGGGCUUAAACCCAAGCUGGUGUGUUUACAAGAAGAAAAACAAAGUCAUGGGCUUACAUGUUUAAAACCCAAUUGGUGUCUGCUGGUAUAUAAACGAGACAAGGGUUUUAAACGUGAAAAAGGGGAAGCAGAGAUAAUUAACAGAAGGAGCAGAGAGAUAGAGUCACGGUGAAGAGAUUCUAGGUCAUCGAUCUUCUUCAAACUGAGUUGUCUUCUUCACGUCACGUCUUUGAGCAAAGUUAAUAGUUCUGGGUUUUUUCUACUUGUGGUAUCUGAAACAAGUCGAAAGAUAGACGUGAGGUUAUACGUGAGAGAGAAGAAACUAAAUUCUUUGUAAACACUUUAUUGUUCUAGUGGAUCGUUGAGAGUACCGUCUCUCCCCAGACGUACCGAAAGGGAACUGGGUUACCAAAUUUCUUGUGUCUUGCUUGAAAACAACAAACAAACUAAGUAUCAAGGUUAAAUUGAUCUAAGUAGUUCAGGUUAAGAGCUAAGACUAGAGGUUGAAAUCAUUAUUAAAACCUCACAAGUGGUAUCAGAGCACCAGGUUUAAGCGGAGGAUACGGUUUCAGUUUCUGAUCUGCGAUUGGUGUUGUUUCGGGAAAGUCCAGGUUAUUCGAUCAAGUGUUUACAUCUACAAAGUCUGAAUCAUGGAACCAUCUUUUCGUAAAAUUGAGGUGGAGAAGUUUGAUGGUAAAGGAGACUUUGGUAUGUGGAAAUUCAAGAUGCUUAUGGCACUUGAAAAUCUGGGGUUAGAUUCUGCAAUUAGUGAGGAAGAAACUAGCGCAGCAUCUGACAAAGGAAAAGGAAAAGAAGAUGAGAUAGAUGCUAAGGCUACUCCAUCUCCGAUUGAUCCAAAGAAGAAGGAGAUAGACAAAAAGGCAAAGAACUUGAUAUGUUCUAGCCUUAGUAAUUUGGUCUUGCGGAAUGUUAUGAAGCAAACAACAGCUCUAGGUGUGUGGAAAGCUCUAGAGAAGGAUUAUCAGACAAAGACCUUACCAAAUCGCAUUUAUCUGAAGCAAAGAUUUGCCAGUUUUAAGAUGGAAGAGCACAAAAGCAUAGAGGAGAAUCUUGACGUGUUUCUUAGGCUGGUGGACGAUUUGGAGAGCUUGAGUAUAACUAUAAGUGAUGAAGAGCAUGCAAUUCAGGUGUUGUCUAGCUUACCUAAGCAGUUUGAUUCACUAGUUCAUACUCUCAAAUACGGCAACGGGAAAGAGACACUUACUAUGAAUGAAGUUACCGCUUCAGCAUAUGCCGAGGAAAUUGAGCUAAAAGAGAGUGGGCUUCUAGGAAAAUCAAAGUCAAGUGCGGAUGCUUUGGUUGCAAGUAGAGGGAGGUCUGAAAAGAGGACUACAGGUCAGAGUAAAGGUAGAUCCAAGAGCAGAGAUUCAAGGUCGAAGUCUAGACCAAAGAAUCAACCAAAAGCUAGAGAAUGUUGGAUAUGCGGGAAAGAAGAACACUACAAGAAAGAGUGCCCUGAAAGGAAGAACGGGAAACAAGAUUCUGCAAAUGUAGUACAUGAAAGAGAGGAACCUAUGGUCUUAACAGCAAGCGUCCAAGACACUAUGGAUGAAUAGGUCAUGGAUUCUGGGUGUACUUUCCACAUUACACCAGAUAGAGAUGUCUUGUAUGACUUCAAGGAGCUUGAUGGCGGAAAGGUGAUGAUGGGUAACAACACUCACAGCGAAGUCAAAGGCAUUGGAAAAAUCAAGAUCAUAAACUCAGAUGGAGCUACCGUGAUAUUAACUGAUGUGAGAUACAUACCAACCAUGAGCAAAAAUCUCAUCUCUUAUGGCCAGCUAGAGAAGAACAGGUGCAAAUAUGAAGGGAAAGACUUCAUAGUUACUUUCUACAAGAAGGGCCAGAAAGUGAUUUCAGGAAAAUAUGAGAACGGGCUGUACUAUUUGCAGGGAACAGUUGUGAGAGGAGAAGCAUCUGUGGUCAGGACAGUGGUAAAUCUAACAAACAGAUGGCAUUCAAGGUUAGGACAUAUGAGUCUUAAGAACAUGAAUCUUCUGGUCAAAGGAGGUUAUCUAAACUCAAAGGAAGUCCACACUUUAGAUUUCUGUGAAAAGUGUGUGUUUGGUAAGUCUCACAAGCAGAGUUUUCCAGUUGGCAAACACACUACUACGGGUAUUUUGGAAUACAUUCACAGUGAUCUUUGGGGCUCAGUGUCAAACGAGCCAAGCAUGACAGGGUGUAGAUACUUUCUUACUUUCAUUGAUGAUUACUCAAGGAAGGUUUGGAUCAGAUUCCUAAGGAGUAACGACGAAGUGUUUGAAAACUUUUCAGAGUGGAAAGCACUGGUGGAAAAUCAGAAGAGUAAGAAGAUAAAGUGUCUACGAACUGAUAAUGGAUUAGAGUUCUGCAACAAUCAGAUGGAUAAGCUAUGUCAGGAUUCAAGGAUUAAAAGACAUCGAACUUGCACUUAUACUCCACAGCAAAAUGGAGUAUCUGAGAGGAUGAAUCGGACAAUAGCUGAGAAGAUCAGCUGUAUGUUAGCAGAAACAGGAAUGGAAAAGAAAUUUUGGGCUGAGGCAGCUUCCACUGCAGUUUAUCUCAUAAACAGAUCACCAAAUGCAUCUCUGAAGUUCAAGAUUCCUGAAGAGGUUUGGUCAGGAUCAAAGGUUGAUUAUAGUCAUCUCAGACGGUUUGGUUGUGUUGCAUAUGUUCAUGUAAUACAAGACAAGAUGAGUCCAAGAGCUGUUAAAGGGAUUUUCUUAGGAUAUCCACAGGGUACUAAAGGUUACAGGGUUUGGAUUCCGGAGGAUAGAAAAUGUACUAACAGCAGGAAUGUAGUCUUUGAUGAGGAAAAGCUGUAUAAGGACCGAGAUCAAAAUGAAGUAACAAAAUCUACAAAGAAGAAGAAAGUUACAUUCAAAGCUGGAUUGAUCCAAGGACCUACUCCAAAUGGUUCGGUUCAAGAGUCCACUGGUCAAGGUGGAGAAGUUUCAGAAAGCACAGAUUCUGCUAGUCAAGGUGGAGCUACUUCGGAAAAUUCAGAAUCAGAAGAGGAGCAGGAAUCUGAGGAAGAACAAGAAAAUCAGGAUGAUGAAGAGUCUCUUGAUGAUUAUUUGCUGGCAAGAGACAGAGUGAGAAGAACUAUCAAACCACCAUCGAGGUUUGAGGAUGCUGAUUAUUUAGCCUAUGCUUUAACUAGCGCUGAAAGCAUAGAGUUAAAUGAACCAAGGUCAGUCGUAGAAGCUAGACGAAGUAAAGACUGGAAGAAGUGGAAGCAGGCUAUGGAAGAGGAAAAACAAUCUCUGGACAAAAAUGAAACUUUUGAGAUUGUCUCUAAGCCGAGAAAGCAAAAAAUAGUUGGGUGUAAAUGGAUCUUCAAGUACAAGGAGGGCAUUCCAGGUGUUGAAGAACCUAGAUACAAAGCAAGACUUGUAGCUAAGGGAUUUACACAGGUUGAAGGAGUGGAUUACAAUGAAAUAUUUGCUCCGGUGGUUAAGCAUGUUUCUAUUAGAAUCAUGUUGUCAGUUGUGGUUAAUUUUGAUCUGGAAUUGGAGCAACUAGACGUGAAGACUGCUUUCUUACAUGGUACACUUGAUGAAGUCAUUUACAUGAGUCAGCCAGAGGGUUUUACAGAGAAGGGAAACGAAGACAAGGUCUGUCUUCUUAAGAAAUCUCUAUAUGGUUUGAAACAGUCACCUAGACAAUGGAAUCAGAAGUUUGAUGAAUUCAUGAAGUCAAUGGAGUUUCAAAGGAGCGCUAGGGAUCCAUGUGUUUACACUAAGGGAUCAUAUAUUGAUGAUAUGGUUUAUCUCUUACUAUAUGUCGAUGACAUGCUUGUGGCAGCAAAGGAUAUGGAAAAGAUCAAAGUUUUGAAAGCAAGCUUAAGUAAAAAGUUCGAGAUGAAGGAUCUAGGACCAACGACUAGAAUUCUUGGUAUGGAUAUCAUCAGGGACAGAAAGAAAGGUACUCUCAAGUUAUCACAGGAAAGAUAUCUUAAGCAGGUUUUAAGAACUUUUAACAUGGAGGAUUGCAAGGCUGUUGUAACUCCAAGUAAUUCGCAGUUUAAGCUUAAGAGUCUAACAGAGUAGGAGGUAAAAGCAGAGAGAAGAUUGAUGGAUUCAGUUCCCUAUGCAAGUGCAGUGGGGAGUCUGAUGUAUGCUAUGAUCGGCUCACGACCUGAUCUUGCCUUUGCCAUUGGAUUAGUUAGCAGAUUCAUGGCGAAUCCAGGAAGAUCUCAUUGGGCUGCGGUUAAGUGGAUUUUGAGGUAUUUAAAAGGAGCUACAGGAGUGUGUCUUACUUUCACAAAAUCAGAGAAAUUUGAGAUUGAAGGGUUUUGUGAUUCAAAUUAUGCUACAGACUUAGACAGGAGAAGGUCGGUUUCAGGCUAUGUUUUCAAAGUUGGUGGCAAUACGGUCAGUUGGAGAUCAUGUCUACAACAAGUAGUUGCUUUAUCUACUACGGAAGCAGAAUAUAUGUCUCUAUCUGAGGCUACUAAGGAAGGUCUGUGGCUUAAGGGAUUGUGUGGUGAAUUGGGUUUCAAAGGGGACAGUUUUAAACUCAAUUGUGAUUCACAAAGUGCUAUAUGUUUAGCAAAGAACAGUGUGCACCAUGACAGAACAAAGCAUGUUGAUACCAAAUAUCAUUUUAUCAGAAAUAUAGUCGAUGAAGGUUCAGUCAAGAUCCUAAAGGUUCACACUACAGCUAAUCCAGCAGACAUGCUCAUGAAGUGCUUACCUGGAAACACGUUUGAGAAGUUCAUGGUGCUUCUCAAUGUCAUUCCGUAAUUGUUUCCAAGACGUCUUGAGAUUGCUCUUGUCGGUUUGGGCAUCUCGCAAGACAUAGGAUAUUGAUUAGAAAAAUUCAGUAUCAGGACAAAGGAAGAAAUCGACACAUGUUUCAGGUGGUAAAAUCUGGAAAUCAAGAGUUGGAUUUUAUCGGUUCACCAAUUCAAAGAGGAGAAGAGGAGACAUGGUUUUAUGAAAAACAAUUUGUCAUCUCAAGGGAAAUCGAUGGAGAAAAGGAAAUCUUUCAAAUGGUCAAAUUUGAAAUAAAAUCUCAUAAAAGUUUUUCGGUGGUUCUUACCUGACUUUGGAGAAGUUUGUAAUUGAAAUCAAAGGUGUUGUCUGGGCAGCUGGAGAUGCAUAAGAAACACAUUCAGAUUUCAAAGUUUAUGGCUUAAAUCGCAGAUGAAGAGAAACUGAAAUGGUUGUCACGGUAAAGAGAUGACUAAAAGAGUUUCAGGUUUACCUGAGAUUGAGCUUAGCGGCGUCGGUUAAGACUGCAGCAGAAUUGUCUGACGGUGAAGUCAGUGGAAGGCUGGAAGCCACAGUGAUUCACCAUCGAAGAAGCAAAUAGAUCGAGAAUAGUCGACGAUUCUCGCAUCUAGACAAAUUAUCUUGUGGUGGAGAUUACAGGCAACAGUGAUGAACACCAUUAGCGACAAACGGCGGUGAAGCUGGAGUUGUGGUGCUUCAUUUGCAGAGACGGCGGCAAGAUUCAUCGGCUCGUUUAAAGCCAUGAAUCGUGACAAUGGCGAGCUCCAAGGACGGCGGUGAAGUCGGAGAAGAAGCAGCGCCGGAAAAGGUCCACUAGAACGGCGAUAUGACGGAGAGGCGACAAAGGAUUUCGUCUCAGGUAAUGGUCGUGUUUUUUUUUUGGGUUGCAUCGACAAGGUGGAGAUUUGUGGAGUUUGUCGAUACAACUAAAGAAGAUAAGGCUGGUCAACUCGUCAUUAUCUGGUCAAAGUUUUGCUUAUUGGGCUUAAACCCAAGCUGGUGUGUUUACAAGAAGAAAAACAAAGUCAUGGGCUUACAUGUUUAAAACCCAAUUGGUGUCUGCUGGUAUAUAAACGAGACAAGGGUUUUAAACGUGAAAAAGGGGAAGCAGAGAUAAUUAACAGAAGGAGCAGAGAGAUAGAGUCACGGUGAAGAGAUUCUAGGUCAUCGAUCUUCUUCAAACUGAGUUGUCUUCUUCACGUCACGUCUUUGAGCAAGGUUAAUAGUUUUGGGUUUUUUCUACUUGUGGUAUCUGAAACAAGUCGAAAGAUAGACGUGAGGUUAUACGUGAGAGAGAAGAAACUAAAUUCUUUGUAAACACUUGAUUGUUCUAGUGGAUCGUUGAGAGUACCGUCUCUCCCCAGACGUACCGAAAGAGAAUUGGGUUACCAAAUUUCUUGUGUCUUGCUUAAAAACAACAAACAAACUAAGUAUCAAGGUUAAAUUGAUCUAAGUAGUUCAGGUUAAGAGCUAAGACUAGAGGUUGAAAUCAUUAUUAAAAC
This 6315-nucleotide long non-coding RNA is filed under the name Eutrema salsugineum. RNAcentral describes it as "long non-coding RNA (ESAL_LNC000270)". Lineage: Eukaryota; Viridiplantae; Streptophyta; Magnoliopsida; Brassicales; Brassicaceae. The record is from RNAcentral.